ACAGAGGGUGCAAGCGUUAAUCGGAAUUACUGGGCGUAAAGCGAGCGUAGGUGGCUUGAUAAGUCAGAUGUGAAAUCCCCGGGCUUAACCUGGGAACUGCAUCUGAAACUGUUAGGCUAGAGUAGGUGAGAGGGAAGUAGAAUUUCAGGUGUAGCGGUGAAAUGCGUAGAGAUCUGAAGGAAUACCGAUGGCGAAGGCAGCUUCCUGGCAUCAUACUGACACUGAGGCUCGAAAGCGUGGGUAGCAAACAGG
This 252-nucleotide ribosomal RNA is filed under the name uncultured bacterium. RNAcentral describes it as "partial 16S ribosomal RNA". It matches the Rfam family "Bacterial small subunit ribosomal RNA", at positions 525 to 776 of the family's 1533-position model. The record is from RNAcentral.